This 855-nucleotide long non-coding RNA is filed under the name Lactuca sativa (garden lettuce). RNAcentral's name for it is "long non-coding RNA (LSAT_LNC002215)". Lineage: Eukaryota; Viridiplantae; Streptophyta; Magnoliopsida; Asterales; Asteraceae. The record is from RNAcentral.
ACGGCCAGAAAAGACCGAUUUUGUUUAUGCUUUAUAAAAAUCAGAGUACUUCUUUAAUAAAAGUGUUGCGGAAUUUUUCCCCAGAAAAACAUGAUAAAUACGUUAUUAAAACAUUUUCGAAGAAACGUAUUUUAUUCAUUUUAAAACGUUUGGGAUGUCAUCGUCAAUACAGGAACAUAAGCAUAAACAGAACUUACAUUCAUUUACACUAAUGAUUUACAUCUCCUUUAUUCUCUCAGUGAAUUAUGUCUUCGUAUUGAUACCUGUGAUACAAAGAAAACUGAGUGGGUCAGGCUUGGGAGCCUGGUGAGCAUAUAGGGUUUUCAACCCACAAUAAUACAUUUAUUAUAUUCAAUUACCAACAAUUGACCCAAAUACCCAUCCCCAUUAUCUUCUUUAAGGUUUUACCCUAAGAAUCGAUUAUACUUCCUUUAUUCAUUCCUAAGGGUUUACCUGAGGAACUGGCUCACAGUACAUUUGCUACCACGGUUCAUACAAUAGGUACUACGUCGCAUAGUCACCAGGGUUCGUACAAUUGGCACUACGUCUCAUAGUCACCAGGGCUUACACAAUAGGCACUACGUCUCAUAGUCACCUAGGUUCAUACAAUUGGCACUACGUCUCAUAGUCACCAGGACUUACACAAUAGGCACUACGUCUCAUAGUCACCUGGGUUCAUACAAUUGGCACUACGUCUCAUAGUCACCAGGGCUUACACAAUAGGCACUACGUCUCAUAGUCACCUGGGUUCAUACAAUUGGCACUACGUCUCAUAGUCACCAGGGCUUACACAAUAGGCACUACGUCUCAUAGUCACCUGGGUUCAUACAAUUGGCACUACGUCUCAUAGUCACC